RNAcentral lists this ribosomal RNA (253 nucleotides) under uncultured bacterium. Its description in RNAcentral is "partial 16S ribosomal RNA". It matches the Rfam family "Bacterial small subunit ribosomal RNA", at positions 524 to 776 of the family's 1533-position model. The record is from RNAcentral.
UACAGAGGUCUCAAGCGUUGUUCGGAUUCAUUGGGCGUAAAGGGUGUGUAGGUGGCGCCGUAAGUCGGGUGUGAAAUUUCGGAGCUUAACUCCGAAACUGCAUUCGAUACUGCGGUGCUUGAGGACUGGAGAGGAGACUGGAAUUCAUGGUGUAGCAGUGAAAUGCGUAGAGAUCAUGAGGAAGACCAGUGGCGAAGGCGGUUCUCUGGGCCUUACCUGACGCUGAGGAGCGAAAGCGUGGGGAGCGAACAGG